RNAcentral lists this ribosomal RNA (305 nucleotides) under uncultured bacterium. Its description in RNAcentral is "partial 16S ribosomal RNA". It matches the Rfam family "Bacterial small subunit ribosomal RNA", at positions 338 to 660 of the family's 1533-position model. The record is from RNAcentral.
CCUACGGGGGGCAGCAGUGGGGAAUAUUGCACAAUGGGGGGAACCCUGAUGCAGCGACGCCGCGUGGGUGAAGGAGCACCUCGGUGCGUAAAGCCCUAUCGGCAGGGAAGAAACAGACGGUACCUGACUAAGAAGCCCCGGCUAACUACGUGCCAGCAGCCGCGGUAAUACGUAGGUGGCAAGCGUUGUCCGGAUUUACUGGGGGUAAAGGGCGUGUAGCCGGGCUGACAAGUCAGAUGUGAAAUCCGGGGGCUCAACCCCCGAACUGCAUUUGAAACUGUUGGUCUUGAGUAUCGGAGAGGCAG